UUGCCAGAGGACCCCAACCGUCUUUCUUUUUCUUUUUUUUUCCUUUCCCUUUUUUCUAGCUCGGUGGCAGAGGGUGUGAGGACUGGGAAGAGAGGGGGGUUUAGCUAGCAGCACCCCUCGUCAGCGUGCGCCACUCCGGCCGCGGUGAGGGUCUGGGGGAGGGGGGUGGAGUGCUGAGGUUUUGGGGGGUGAGGGGACGCUUAGGGGGCGGUCUUUAGGGCUCGGUACCGGCGGCGGCAGGCCUCUUUGCAGCGAAGGAGCGGGAGGCCUCGGCGGGCAGAAGCGGUUCGGAGCUACCACAUCCUCUCCACGACCUCUCCCCCGUCCAUUCACCCUCCCGCCUACCCCCGCUAACCUCCGCUGCUCAGACACGUCACCCUGUUCUACUUACCUCGACUCCACCACUUACCGCCACCUUCACCGCGUCCUUCGGACCUAUCCUAUGUUCACAAUCACUCCCACUCCGGCGACUCACUGUUCCUCUAACGGUCCCCACUCGGACGCCUCACCCUCACGUAGUUACUGUGGUGGUAGUACAAGGCCUCAUGGAAGGGCCUAGCUGGGUGCCGAGGUUGGCGUAUGUGUAAACUGUCCCAUAAAGUAAGGCUCACGUCAUGCUUUCUUCAGAUGGUCCUUCCCCAAUUCCUUCAACGAGAGAGACAUCAACCACCGUAAUUGAGUUCACAAAAACGCAUGCCCGUUUGUUCAUCACCCUUCUGUAAGUGAUACUGACCUCACUGUCUUACGUGUCAUCGUCUAUAUAUACUAAUAUAAUUGUUCGUACUCCUCUCUCGUAAACACAACUUUAAGAGUCGUUAACUUUAUAUAUUACUUCAACAAUCCCUAGAAGACUCACGUCUUUUAUGAGGAGAAUCUGAAACCCUACUACGUCUCUUUCCGUGGAUGCACCUCUUAGAAUGCCUCCAAUAUAAUUCCCUAACCUUGGUGGAGUUCCCUGAAUAAAGACAAACGCUUCGAGUUUCCUCUUGGCCCCUCUGGAAGAAUUUACUUUUUUCGAGGUCUAGGGUAGUUUAUGAAUUUAACUGACAACUUUCAAGACGAGCACUUAAGAAUCCUUUCCUGUUCAGUUGGUGGGAACACCGAUCACACUUGAAACAACUAGACCGUCCUUCACUCGCACGUAGAGUCCGAUACAGUCGACCGUGUUCCGACUUUCUUCCAACGGUGUAGUUAUUUUCAAACGAAAGGGAACCGUGGCAGUAAUCCUUCGAUUCGUACCCCUCAUUACACGUGCAUGGUAUAUCUCUAAGGUUCGAAUGUGCGUAUAAUGUUGGAAGAAACCCUCCGUUACGUUCUUGGCGCUAAUAAACGUGUGAGUCGGGACGUUGUUCAGUGUAACUCGUUAGUUCCUUAUGUGACAAAAAGCCCUCAACACGUUUCCUGCAUCAAUGUUUACGAGUCCAAUUACACCAGUACAGACUAUUUUGUGAUCAAUUCGUAAACGUUUUCCUUCAACGGUCUGACCUCUCACUCAACGCCGUCGGUCAAAGUUUGAGAUCAGACCUUCGUGUCCACUUCCUUUUCCUGUUGGUUUAGUCUUUCUACCUCUUUCUUUAUUUUCUUGACUUCAGCGUUGCACUAAACCGAGUCAGGUCCAACGUCCUAAACGACGUUCAACAACCACUAGCACUGGGUUUCGUGGUCCAGAGUCCUUUCGCAAGUUAGUCUUCAGGAGGCAGACAACCUUACGGGGGUUCGCGAUCGUCUCUACUGUCAAGAGUCUAGAGAGUACUACUAAGUCUAGUAAUGUUCCUUCACGCUACAUAACUCGGUUUACUUUGCUCUCCUUUACUUGCAAACAGAUACAGUCGACCACUUUCAUGGUCGGGUGCUCGAAGUUUAUCCUUAAGAUCGUACGCACCAUUACUAAGUUGUCGAAGUCACUUAAGUUCCUCCGAACCACUUUGAGGAUAAUGGAACCUCGUUGUAAACCUCUUGUAGUCUUCCGGAAAAUAGUGAUUUCUAGAUCCUAGAAGUUGUGCGUUGGGUAGUUCAACAUCUCAUUAACCAUCUUCGUCCUCGACAUCUAGUGAUUGUCCCAGAUGAAAUGAACUACUCUACCUCUACCUCCUAACGUGUGGUCAUUUGUCUUCAAACCAUUAGAAGGGUCCUGCUGGACUUCUCAUGGUCUCUUCUCCUAGACGUAACUUGAUGCUACGUCCCUCACUCUGAGAAAGUUCCCGUCCUAGACUUUAAUCGUGAAGUUUCCCUCGAUCGUUCUGUCCACUACGUCUUAAAUGGCCAUAUCCACUUAAACAACGACUUGAAUUCCUCUACCGAGUCCAAGUAAUAGUCUUUGUCAAUCCACUGGUCUCACCCUUACCUUUCUCGUAGCCUAAUCUGGGUUAGUACCUACGAAACGUUAGUGGAAGAGCUACCGGUAACCUUAAGCUCUUCUUUGUCGUCCUCUAGUAGCUCGAGACCGUGCGCACGUCGUAAAGCAACCAGGUGUCCUGAAUGAAGAAGAACGACAAGUUUCCUCUUAGUCGGCUGAGCUAAAUGUACCUUCACCUCGACGCUUCCGACAGCAAGGAGUCUCUGUGGAUGAGAUCCCCUUCGUGGGGGUCGUUACACUGGCAUCCGUCGGAGUCGAGAAGGGGGCAGCGCUCGCGGUUCUUCGAAGUCGCGCUCUCCCUCUACGACCGCUCCGUCUACGUCUUCGCCGACAGGCACCUCCUCUCCUUGGUGUACAUGUGGUUCACCUCGCACAGCGACCUGAGGUUCUCCUCCUUCGACGUCCACCGAGCGGCCGACACCUGCCUCUCGUCCCUGGACCUCGUGCACUCCCUCUCGCGCAGGGACCACCGGUUCGACUAGCCCGAGGUCCUCGGGCCCGUCCAGGACUCCCUCUACAAGCCCGAGUCGAAGCGCGGCGUCGUCGGCGGGUGGGCCGCCAGGAGGUUGCCGACCUCUAUGCCCUAGGGGAGCAAGCCGACUAACUAACUACUAACCCCCAGCCACUGCUGUGCUCCGCUCUACUACUUCAACUCGAACCGACGCGAGGAUUAGGCCCGGCGCGUAACGGUCCCUGACUUCUAGUCAAACCAAGCUAUAUGGACCGGAAGAACGGCCCGCACGCGGACUUUGCUAGUUCCUUAGUACGGACCACUCCGAUCGGACCCCACUGAAACAAAACAUACGCAAGACCGAACCGAACGAUAAUAUUCGGAUAUUUAAUAACAACUCGGUACGAAAGUAGUCUGUUGUACGUUCUUUAUCAGAAAAAUCCAGAGUCAGCUACGAUAUAAGCAAUCUAAAAUAUAAGUCUAGACACAUAA
RNAcentral lists this ribosomal RNA (3299 nucleotides) under Triticum aestivum (bread wheat). RNAcentral describes it as "partial small subunit ribosomal RNA". Lineage: Eukaryota; Viridiplantae; Streptophyta; Magnoliopsida; Poales; Poaceae. The record is from RNAcentral.